UACAGAGGUCCCGAGCGUUGUUCGGAUUCACUGGGCGUAAAGGGUGCGCAGGUGGCUUGGCAAGUUUGAUGUGAAAGCCCCGAGCUCAACUCGGGAAUGGCAUUGAAUACUGCCGGGCUGGAGGUUUGGAGGGGGGACUGGAAUUCUCGGUGUAGCAGUGAAAUGCGUAGAUAUCGAGAGGAACACCAGUGGCGAAGGCGAGUCCCUGGACAACACCUGACACUGAGGCACGAAAGCUAGGGGAGCAAACAGG
RNAcentral lists this unclassified non-coding RNA (253 nucleotides) under uncultured Verrucomicrobiota bacterium. RNAcentral describes it as "uncultured Verrucomicrobia bacterium contains 16S-23S intergenic spacer region". It matches the Rfam family "Bacterial small subunit ribosomal RNA", at positions 524 to 776 of the family's 1533-position model. The record is from RNAcentral. Lineage: Bacteria; Pseudomonadati; Verrucomicrobiota.